CUGAUCUUUAAAGCUAGGACAAAUUCACAAAAAAAUCCAUACAUAGGUUUUGAGAAAUGAUUCUUUAUUUGAAAACACUGAAGGCAAUAAGAUGGAAUGAGAGGAUAACAUUUUAGUAGAUUACUCAAAACAGCUUGAUAGGGAAAACAACACAAGAACUUCAAGUUCUAAGUCACAGAUUAAAGUCUAGACUAAAAGCAAAAGCAAUCUAAUAAUGAAAACAACAGCCUAAAACAAUCCAGAGUCACUCGCUGUAGGAAAUCUUAAGAUAUGAAGAGCAGUUUUAGGACAGUAAAACAAAGAUCAUAAGUCUAAAGGGACAAUAGUCUUUAGGACAUUUUUAAAACUAAGACAUAAGAAGGCAAUAUUAAAGUGUUAAGAGCAAAAUGGCGAGAUUUAAAACACUAAAAAGCAGUCUUAAAAUACUAAAACCAGUCUGGCAUAAUAAAAAGAAUCCUAAAGGUAAUCUAGAUUUACUAAAAGCAUAAUAAACAUGAUAAAGAUAAACUGGUAAAGGUCUUAUAAUACUGUAGAUGAUAAAAUAAUAAAACUCUAAUACAAUAGAAAUAGUCAGAAUAACAAUGGUUUAUGUUUCUACAGCUUCACAGUUUACAAAGCACUUCCCUCACAACAACCCUGUGAGGUAGGUAAAAGUAUUUUUAUUCCCAUCUGACAAAUGAGGAAACUGUGGCUCAGAGAGAGUAAAUGACCUGCUGAGCAUCAUGUGGAUAGUAAGGAGCAGUAGGAGAGUUGUAACCAAUGUCUUGAGCUCUUUCCAAGGUUUUACACUGCUUCUUUCCAUUGAGAGCCAAGACAAUGGUAUGGGUUGUACGAAUGUGAAUAACCUUCUUCGCCAAGAAGUUUAUGAUACAUUCCUAGAUCUGCAGUUAUUUAGUUAUCAUUUCUAGUCUACCCCUUCAUUUUUACAGAUGAGGGAACUGAGGUCUAGAGAAGCUAAUCUUCUGGUCCAAAAUAAUAAAGGUUGUAAAUGGCAGAGGAAGAACAGCAAAGCUGAACUCAGCACUUGGAACUUCAAAUUCAGGGCCCCUUACAUUGCUCUAUGCUGCCUCUCAAUACUGAUAACUCACACUAUAACUAAGCUCCUAAGGAGCUUUAGACAUUUCCAACAUUUCCUCUGUUCAAGUAAUGGUAGUGGAAGUGUUAUUAAUUUCCUUUUUUGCAAAUAAGGAGAUGGCAGCCCAAGGAGAUUGAGGGAUUUGCCUAAAAUCACACCGUUAGUGACUGCUGGAAUUAGGACAUAACCUCAGAACUCCUGGUCCAAGUGCAGACUCCCUCAUUUUAUGAUCCUCUGUUCUUUAGAGUCAGAUUCUUUUCUAGAUGAAAAUCUAGAAGGGCUGUCAUUCUCUAACUCCUAGUUUAGCACUCUACCCAGAGAAAGUAUUCAAUAAAUAUCGGCUGAUGAAAAUGAUGAUUACUGUCCCCAGCUUGCAUGCUCUGGUCAAGUAUGAGGACACUGCUUUUUACACUUAAAUAUAAUGGGAAAUUCAAACAGUUGCAGGCAGAUUCCCAUUUUCUCAACCUCCUUAUUUAUUUAUGAAUAAAUCUACAUUUUGUAGCGUUUAAGACAUCCAUUUGAACAAAUGAUCCUUUUAUUUAAUUAGAGACAAUUUUUCUAGAAAUGUACAUCAAUAUUUACCCCCAAAUAAAGAAGUGUUGUCGAAUUAUCUACAAGUUAGAAUUGGAAUAAAGCUCCGUAUUACACCAAAUAAAUGCUGGGCUUGAGCAAGUCAGUCUAAAUCAUUUGGGCAAAGUUUGAAUUGGGUGUCUUGGCAUAGGGAUUAAGUUGCUAAAUGUGCUGAGAAUUGUAGUUUUUGUCAGCUUAGAAUAAUACAAAGCUACUAGGAGAUUAGAAGUGGAAGGCUAAGUUUUUAUAUUGUAAUAUUAACUUAAAAAUCUUUGAAGAGGUCUAGAGAGGAUGAAUAAGGAAGAUAAAGAAGAGUUGUGGAGAAUGCAGUAGUAACAAAAGGAUAAUGAUUUCUAGGAGACUGACUCUUUAACACUUUGGAACCUUUUCAUUUUUCUGGCUUACUUUCUAGAUAAACAUCACUUAAUGUUCACUUAUUGUGAGGAUUUGUAUUCCUAGAUAUUUUAUUUUAUACAUUUUUAAAACAUCAUUUUGAGAAAGGAUCGAAAAGGGGUUUUUGACACAAAAAGGUUAGGAUUCCCUGGUUUUAGUGUAUGAGUCCCAAUUCCACAUGGCUUCUUUUCUCUGCCAUGUUAGAAGUUUUAAAAUACAUAUUAUUAGCACAAAUAAUAAAUCUCUGAAUCAGUAGGCAAUCAUUUGACUACCAAAUUGGAAAAGUGGUGUUCCAGUCAGAAGUAUUUAUAUAGUUAUUAGUUCUAUCCAUCCCCAGAAGUGAGAGUAGGGGAGAAAUAGUUUUCAGUCAGAUAUCUGCUGGGUAUCUGCUAGUGAGGGGAGGAUCUUACUAGUAAGAAUUACUAGUACUUACUAGAGAAGUAGGGUAUGGGAACCAAUCUUAAUAUGGAUCAAUUUUGAAUUUCAAAGUCUUCCAUAAAGUCAUGAAACAUUUAUAUAACUUUCUCUUUAGAACUAGUUUCCUUCUGUAAUAUUGUCUACCCUAAAAUUGUGUUUUACCACAACAAUAACAAUUCAUGUUUCAGUAACAUUCUGCAAUUUACAAAGCAAUGGCCUCAUUACUCUGGAAAAAGUAUUAGAAAUUGUUAUAUAUUUACCUACAAUUUACUAUGGUGCUAAAAGUGAAGAAUUAGAAGGAAAUAUAAAGCAGAGUAAUUGAUAGUUCAAGCUACUAAUUUAUUAGGUCAUGACAACUAGGGCCAUAGAUUUCAAGGAUAAUGCUACUAAUAAAUGUCAAGAUUCUGGGUUCUUAUAAUUCAGGGUUUUGUGUACAACAAGAUCCUCUGUAAACCAAGUGAAAUUCCAUUAAAAUUCAAAAGCAUAAAAUUACAUAGAAUGGGAUUGUAACAUUGGUAAUUAAAUCAUUUGCUCAAAUAAAAUUCAUUCUUAUGAUUCUUCUCAUUAAGCAAAAAUCCUUAUAAGAUUUUGAAGAGAUGACCAUGAGAUAUUUUGAGGUGGGAGAUGAGUAGAAGAAGAAAGUAGUAGAAAUGAACAACUAUUCUAAAAUCUUUUUUACAACAGAGCUUUGAAAAACUCAGUGUUCAUUGUUUUCCUGUUAUGGUAAUCAUAUUUUUCCCCCUGCUGCUAGACACUAUAUGUAGUGGGAAGAACAGUGUGUCCUAACUCUUCCACUUACUACCAGUGUGACAACAGGCAAAAACUUAACCUUUCUGAGUUUCAUUUUCUUCAUUUGUUAAACAAGGAUGAUGAGACAUCUACCAAGUACUUCACAGGUUUGCUGGGAUGAAAGUGCUUUAUUAAAAAUAAAGCACCAUUAAAUACUAAUUAUUGUUAAUCUUUUGUUUCCUUUCUCUAUUUCAGCUUGUGGAGGAGGAAUGGAAGGAUGUGGACAAAAGAUCCAUGGGAAAACAUGGAUGAAUUGUUAUCUUCAGAAUCAGAGGAAGUAACCCCAUAAAUGACCUUACAGAUUCUUGAAAUAAUAACUAACAUUUAAAUAAUGUUUAAGAGUUUGGAAAGCAUUUUAAGCAUAUGCUAUUUUAUUAGAUUCUCAUAACUAGUCUACUCCUGGCUUUUGUCAGUUUCCAUGCAGAGUGACAUACCACUAAACUACAGGUCUUCCACCAAUCUCAAUGACUGGGAGCACUUCUGUGACUCCCGAAAAAAUAAUUAUGAUUCCCUGAACUGAUACAAAGCUUUUACCAUCAAAGUCACAUUCUUUAUUCCUUAGUCAUUCAGAGAUAUAUGCACUAUUAUUAAACAAAACUAACAAGUUUGUUUAUCUGUGUCCAACAGAAGAAAAGCAUCAAAUUGUAAGGGAAUGGCAAAAGUGACUGUUGAUUGGUCAAAAUUGAGAGAGGAGACAUGAAAAAUUCAAAGUAAAUAUAGCAGGGAUGCAGAGAAAGAAUUUAUGCUAAAGGAAUCUGAGUAGCUCCAAGGUAAUUCAGUCCUUUUCUCCUCCCAAGAAAACUCCCAAGAGUACAGGUUCAUACGCACACAUGCACACACACUCACAUAUACACACAUACACACAUGUACAUAUAUACAUAUAUAGUUAUUGUAGGGGUUUCUAGGGAAAUAAGAAUUAUAAUAAAGGAGUUUCCAUUAUGUUAGUGAGGGAUGGUAAGGAAGCAUCAAUGACAAAAGCAGGGACUAUACAGCAAGCAUUAAGGAUUCUUGAGAAAUUGUGCAUACCCCAUUAAUCUGAUACUACUUAUCAGAGUUCUUAAGGGAGUAAAUAUUGAGGGAGAGAUGAUGUAGACUAGUGGUAGAUGAUGGAAUGAGGGUUUAAGCUGAUUCUAAAGAGAGAAGCAGGUUGAUACUACUUUCCAAUAAGGUACUUAAGCUAAAGGAGGAGAACUCCUUUGCAGUUGAAGAAGAAUUCAAGAAGAAAGAAGGGGACUUGAACCUACAAAUUGAAGGAGGAGAAUGAGGAACACGAGGGCUUGAGCAGAAAGAGAAGCAAAAGUCACUUAGAAAAGGAGGAAGAGAAGGAUGUGAAAGUGAAAGGAAGCUGGUAAAGCAUGCUAAGUAAAAGGAGUCAGGGACACUUGAACUGGAAGGUAUAUGAAACAAGUUUCCAGCUCCAUCCCAACCCCUCCAGCAUGGAUAAUAUGAAUGAACUAGCUGAUCAAUGUCAGAAGUGAAUGGGAGGUGAAAGGAAUUCGUUUAGGAUAACCUGCCUAGUAGGGAGGGCUGAAAGCCUUUCCCUAGGGAGGGUUUGGGGGGAAGGGGGAAAAGUAAGAACAGGAUAUUGACAGCUGUCUGAGUAUUAGCCAAGUGUGGUAUGUGCUGACUAUUAAAAGUGAUGAAAAUGUGUUGAUUAGCUCCCGGGCACGUUGGCCUGGAGCCGUUUCACAAAAAGUUGUUAACACUCUUUCCAGGGGAACAAAAAGCCACAGAGACGGAUAGAAAAUGAUAGCAGCGAGUCAGAGUAGCAGCUGCAGAUGACAGCUCUAGCAGUGGAAGAGUAAAGCAGUAAAUGCAGGUGGCAGUAGCAGCUCGGCAGAGCAAUUUACAGCUCCAGUAGAUGGCAACAGCCCCUUAGUAGAGGAGCAGCAGUGGAUGAUACUACAGCACAUGGCUAUAGCACUUUGGCAGAGAAUGAGCAACAGAGCAGCAGCUAAGUACUAGGAGUCGAUAGCUUAAGAAGAUGGCAGCAGCAAUUUGGCAGAGAAGUGGCAUCCGCUAAGCGGAGAAGCAAUAACUAAGGAGACAGCAGUAGAUGACACUACUAAGAUGCAUUAGCAUCUUAGUGCAGAUACGAGAGCAGCUGGCAAUAGUAGCUUAAUGAAGAAGUAAUAGCAGAUGAUUGGGGCAGCUAAGUGGAAGAACACCAGCAGAUGGUGAAUUAGCUAAGCAGAAAAGCAGUAGUAGAAAGCAGUAGCAGCUAAGCAGAGAGGCAGUAGAAGAUGAUGGCAGAAGCUAAGCAGCGAAGCAACAGGAGGUGGCAGCGGCAGCUAAGCAGAGAAGUAAUAGCAGAUGACAGAAGCAGCUAAGCAGAGAAGCAGCAGCAGAUGGCGGCAGAAGCUAAGCAGAGAAGCAGCAGCAGAUGGCGGCAGAAGCUAAGCAGAGAAGCAAUAGUAGAUGACAGCAGAAGCAGCUAAGCAGAGAAGUAGCAGCAGAUGGCAGAAGCAGCUAAGCAGAGAAGCAGAAGCAGAGGAUGACAGAAGCAGCUAAGCAGAGAAGCAGAAGCAGAGGAUGACAGAAGCAGCUAAGCAGAGAAGCAGCAGCAGAUGGCAGCAGAAGCAGCUAAGCAGAGAAGCAGCAGCAGAUGGCAGCAGAAGCAGCUAAGCAGAGAAGCAGCAGCAGAUGGAGGCAGAAGCUAAGCAAUACUAGAUGGUGCCAGCAGCUAAGUGGAGAAGAGCUGCAGAAGAUAGCAACAGCAGCUUAAUGGAGAAGCAAUAGCAGAUGAAGGUGGCAGUUAAGCGCAGAAGCGGUAGCAGCUAAAGCAGAGAAGCAAAAGAAGAUAGCUGCAGAAGAUGGCAUCAGUAGCUUAGCAGGAAAGCAAUAGCAGAUGGUGGCAGCAGCUUAGCAGAGAAGCUAUAGGAGAUGGUGGCAGUAGCUAAGCAGAGCAGUAAAAGUAGAGGGCAACAGAAGCUAAGCCGAGAACCAGAAGCUGCAAAAGAUAUUAACAGCAGCUUAGCAGAAAAGCAAUUAGCAGAUGGUGGUAGCAGCUUAGCAGAGAAGCAAUAGCAGAUAGUGGCAGUAGCUAAGCAGAGCAGUAAUAGUAGAGGGCAACAGAAGCUAAGCCGAGAACCAGAAGCUGCAAGAUAUUAACAGCAGCUUAGUAGAAAAGCAAUUAGCAGAUGGUGGUAGCAGCUUAGCAGAGAAGCAAUAGCAGAUAGUGGCAUAGCUAAGCAGAGCAGUAAUAGUAGAGGGCAACAGAAGCUAAGCCGAGAACCAGAAGCUGCAAAAGAUAUUAACAGCAGCUUAGCAGAAAAGCAAUUAGCAGAUGGUGGUAGCAGCUUAGCAGAGAAGCAAUAGCAGAUAGUGGCAGUAGCUAAGCAGAGCAGUAAUAGUAGAGGGCAACAGAAGCUAAGCCGAGAACCAGAAGCUGCAAGAUAUUAACAGCAGCUUAACAGAGAAGCAAUUAGCAGAUGGUGGUAGCAGCUUAGCAGAGAAGCAAUAGCAGACAGUGGCAGUAGCUAAGCAAAGCAGUAAUAGUAGAGGGCAAUAGAAGCUAAGCAGAAAGCCAGGAGCUGUAAGAAAUAUUAACAGCAGCUUAGCAAGAAGCAAUAGCAGAUGGUGGCAGUAGCUUAGCAGAGAAGCAAUAGCAGAUGAUGAGAGUAGCUCAGCACAGAAAUGGUAACAAAUGAGAGCUUCAGCAGAUGGCAGCAGGGCAUCAAUAGCCACUAGCACAUGAGCUUUAGCUCCAACAUGUGGCUAUGGAUUGGCAGGGAAGCAGCGAAUGGCCGCUUUGUAAGUAAAAUGGAAAGGCAGCUGCAGAGCAGGAGUGGAAGAAUUAUGUGUCAGAGUCAAUUGCUGGGGCAUGAAAGGUCUUUUAUACAUAACACAGCUCUUAUAGAAUGAAUUAUCCAGGGAAUGUUCCUUCUCCCAUUGGCAUCAGAGUUUGUGGAAGAAUAUUCCUUCACAUAUGGAUGGCAAAGAAUAAUUCUGUGACUUCAUUUUCACUCUUGCAUUGUUUUUGGUAGUUGAUAAAAUAUGAAAGUUAUAACAGGUUAAACAUUUUUUUCUUUAAGUAGGAGAGUAGAGUAUCAUUGAAGUCACAUUGGGACUCUCUUCACUGCAAUUUUGUGUUUUUCAAUUUGAACCGAAUUUUAGUCCAGCUAAGCAGAGAAGCAGCAGCAGAUGAUUGCUGCAAAAGAUGGCAGCAGCAACUUAGUGAAAAAGCAAUUAGCAGAUGGACUCUCGCUCUGUAAUUUUUUUUUCAGUUUGAACAUAAUUUUAGUUUAACAUAAGUUUAGUUUAGCAUUUCUUGAUGUAUUUUUGGAAGACUUUUUUCUUUUUUCCCUUUUUUAGAUAUUAAUUUUUCCACAUAUUUGAAAAUUUUUGGUUAUUUUAAAACAUUACUAUAAUAUUUUUAUUUUGUUUUACUUUCAACAAUUAUAGCUGGAUUUUACAUCUCAGUGGCACCUACCACUUUCUAACAGUUGAAGGAGAAAACAGUCACAGAUAUGGAUUACAUGAAAGUCUUAGUAUAUAUAGAUGAUUUUGAGAAGAACAUGGAGAAAGAUGGAUGCAAGUACUGGAAUGGCAAAAGGAAGCUGUCAAUUAACUAACUAAUGCUAGUUUUGCACAGCCUCUGUCAAGAUUAUCUCCAUAAGGUGUGAGUACUGAUUCAGAGAAGAAAAGUGCUCUUGAAUUGAACACACCACAGAAAUCUUGAGUUCUGACAACAUUUCUAGGACUUUGUGUAUAUUAUUGCAAAUUUGUAAAGAACUAUAUUGCUAUUGCUAAGCUAAUGAAUUUUCACUCAUGUAUACAUGAUCAAAGAAAACCAAAAGGAAAAGAGCAAGAGGUCAAAUUGGUUUAAAACCAUGAAGCCAUUUGGAGAUCUAUAAAAGGACAUAUAACUAUCAAAGACUUGGGUCAACUGCCUCAUGAAUAUGUAAGUAUUGCCCAUGAAGGUCCAAGCAAACCUUUUGUCCCCCACACAGAUGCCAGUCUGAAGUAUUUGAAAGCAGUCCUAUACCAAGAAAAUGAUGGUCACGAGGAACAAACUACAUUUACCAGUAGAAGACUUAAUGACAAUGAGACUCACCAUACCAUAGAUAAAUUGGAAUUCUUGACUUUGAGCUAGGUUGUUGUUGAAAAAUUCAAAGACUGUGUGUGGAACUAAAUUCCAACUGUGGACUAAGAAUAAUACAUCAACAUAUUUUGAUAAAUACCAAGUAAAUGCUUCUUGUUAUAGAUAAGUAGCAGCACUAGCCAACUAAGAAUUCAGCAUUUACUGAUAGCUAAGGAAGACUAAUGUGGACAAAGAUGCUCUUUUCCAAGGGUCACACUACAUCAAAACUACAGUCACAUGUAAGGAAAGAGUGUAGGAUUAUAUGUGAUUCCCAGAUAUCUGAGCCAUUGUCAAGUUAAUGUAUAACUAAGAUUUCGGGAUUUUUUCCCAUAUUGUGUGUCAGUGGCUUAUGCAAACUUUGUUUUAUUGAACUUUUUUUGCUUGGAUUGUCUUUAGAAGACAGCCAGGGAAAGCAGAUGGCUGAUGGGUUAUAAGAAGGGAUACAAGUCAAGAAACAUGGAAGUGAGGUUAAAGGACUUUAAGUUCUAUUCACUAGACAUUGUGUUAUUGUUGAAACAGUAGGAGAAGUUGGACCUGUGUAAUGAAAUCUUAUAUAGGACUAAUACUAAUACUGUACAUGGUACUAAAAAGCAAAUGGUGUCAUCCAGUGCUUAUCAUUCUAUGUCUAUCACCAUAAUGGCUUUGGAUGCAUAGAUCAAGAAAGAACUCUGGAUUAAGAAACAGAUUUUACUGUUUAAGAUGAGAGCAGAUGAUACUAAGAAAUGUAAGAUGAGUUUAUUAUAUACAAAGAGCUACCCACUUUUGCCUCAUAUUUGAAGAACAUAAAUUAUUUCAAUUGUACUCUAUUGAACUUGUUAGAGCACUGAAACUAGAAUAUAAAAUAGAAUAGUCAACAUAUAGUAUUUAUAGUACAUGCAUACAAUUCCACAGAAAGAAUUAGGCUAUAUAUUUUAACCAUACUUGCUUAUAUUUGGGCAGGAGUCACAUCCAUAUACUGAUUUAUGCUUUGGAGUCUCAGAAGAAGGAGAAAAUUCAAACACUCAUAAUAAACACAGUUAUCAGCUGAAAGGAAGAAGGAAGCCUAUAAACUAGGAAUGACUUUAGUUUGGAAGAGCUGAUGGAAACAAAUGACAGUAUGAUGACCAAAUUUGUUAUCAAAAGUUUUGCUGAGAAACCUUGACAUUCAAGAGGCACCCAAGUGUCUACAUACCAAAUUGUUUUAACACUGGACAACUUAACUAUUUACAGAAUUGCUCUAGAGAGUGGCUGGGGCCUGAUAGAAACAAUUAAUUACAAAUACCACUCAUUUGUAGCAGAUUUAGUAGGAUUCAUUGAUGAAGAGAAUAGAUGCUUACCUCAGUGGAAUCUUAGUAAGAAAAACUGCUUAUCAAUUAUACAAAAUGGUCUGAAUUGAUCAGAAUGAAAUGAUGCUUCCAGAGGAGAUACCAUAUAUUGUAACUCAUCAACUUUGCCAUACUGAAAACGUGGGGAAAAGAUUCAACCCAGAGACAAUACCUUUCCUCCCUGGAACUUUAUAGAAAUUUCUAGAGUCCAGAGAUAAUCCAUAGAGCCUAGAAAUGCU
This is a long non-coding RNA of Sarcophilus harrisii (Tasmanian devil), 9870 nucleotides long. The record is from Ensembl. NCBI's taxonomy places the organism in Eukaryota, Metazoa, Chordata, Mammalia, Dasyuromorphia, Dasyuridae.